AGUGAACGCUGGCGGCGUGCCUAACACAUGCAGGUCGAACGAGAACGGGUUAUAGCUUGCUAUAAUUGUCAGCUAAGUGGCGCACGGGUGAGUAAUGUAUAGGUAAUAUGCCUCUUACUAAGGGAUAACAAAUGGAAACGUUUGCUAAUACCUUAUACUCCUUAUUAACAGAAGUUAAUAAGGGAAAGAUUUAUUGGUAAGAGAUUAGCCUGUAUUGUAUCAGUUAGUUGGUGGGGUAAUGGCUUACCAAGACUAUGACACAUAACUGGUUUGAGAGGAUGAUCAGUCACACUGGAACUGAGACACGGUCCAGACUCCUACGGGAGGCAGCAGUGGGGAAUAUCGCACAAUGGACGAAAGUCUGAUGCAGCAACGCCGCGUGGAGGAUGACACAUUUCGGUGCGUAAACUCCUUUUAUAUGAGAAGAUAAUGACGGUAUUAUAUGAAUAAGCACCGGCUAACUCCGUGCCAGCAGCCGCCGUAA
This 484-nucleotide ribosomal RNA is filed under the name uncultured bacterium. Its description in RNAcentral is "partial 16S ribosomal RNA". It matches the Rfam family "Bacterial small subunit ribosomal RNA", at positions 29 to 523 of the family's 1533-position model. The record is from RNAcentral.